RNAcentral lists this ribosomal RNA (749 nucleotides) under uncultured Methanocalculus sp. RNAcentral describes it as "bacterial SSU rRNA". It matches the Rfam family "Archaeal small subunit ribosomal RNA", at positions 102 to 856 of the family's 1478-position model. The record is from RNAcentral. Lineage: Archaea; Methanobacteriati; Methanobacteriota; Methanomicrobia; Methanomicrobiales; Methanocalculaceae.
GGAUAAUCUGCCCUCAGGUGAGGAAUAAUCCCGGGAAACUGGGGCUAAUGCCUCAUAGGAGACGGGUGCUGGAAUGCUCUGUCUCCGAAAGGUCCGCCGCCUGAGGAUGAGUCUGCGUCCGAUUAGGUUGUUGUUGGGGUAACGGCCCAACAAGCCUUUGAUCGGUACGGGUUGUGGGAGCAAGAGCCCGGAGAUGGAUUCUGAGACAUGAAUCCAGGCCCUACGGGGCGCAGCAGGCGCGAAAACUUUACAAUGCGAGCAAUCGUGAUAAGGAAACCCUGAGUGCCUGUCAAUGCAGGCUGUUCUGGUGUCUAACACACACCAGGAGAAAGGGCGGGGCAAGACCGGUGCCAGCCGCCGCGGUAAUACCGGCUGCUCGAGUGAUAGCCACUUUUACUGGGCUUAAAGCGUUCGUAGCUUGGUCGUUAAGUCUCUGGGGAAAUCUUUUGGCUCAACCAAAAGGCGUCUCAGGGAAACUGACGAUCUUGGAACCGGGAGAGGUAAGACGUACUUCAGGGGUAGGAGUGAAAUCUUGUAAUCCCCGAGGGACGACCGAUGGCGAAGGCAUCUUACCAGAACGGCUUCGACAGUGAGGGACGAAAGCUGGGGGAGCAAACCGGAUUAGAUACCCGGGUAGUCCCAGCCGUAAACGAUGUGCGUUAGGUGUGUCAGUGACCACGAGUCGCUGAGGUGCCGAAGGGAAACCGUGAAACGCACCGCCUGGGAAGUACGGUCGCAAGGCUGAAACU